GAUGAACGCUGACAGAAUGCUUAACACAUGCAAGUCAACUUGAAUUUGGGUUUUUACCUUAGGUUUGGGUGGCGGACGGGUGAGUAACGCGUAAAGAACUUGCCUCACAGCUAGGGACAACAUUUGGAAACGAAUGCUAAUACCUAAUAUUAUUAUAAUAGGGCAUCCUAUAAUUAUGAAAGCUAUAAGCGCUGUGAGAGAGCUUUGCGUCCCACUAGCUAGUUGGAGAGGUAACGGCUCACCAAGGCGAUGAUGGGUAGCCGGCCUGAGAGGGUGAUCGGCCACAAGGGGACUGAGACACGGCCAUUAGUGCUAAGGGAGGCAGCAGUGGGGAAUAUUGGACAAUGGACCAAGAGUCUGAUCCAGCAAUUCUGUGUGCAAGAUGAAGUUUUUCGGAAUGUAAAGUGCUUUCAGUUGGGAAGAAAGAAAUGACGGUACCAACAGAAGAAGUGACGGCUAAAUACGUG
Molecule: ribosomal RNA, 467 nt
Filed under: uncultured bacterium
Lineage: Bacteria
Description: partial 16S ribosomal RNA
Rfam family: Bacterial small subunit ribosomal RNA
Source: RNAcentral